UUACUUCAGCAGCACAUAUACUAAAAUUGGAACGAUACAGAGGAAAUUAGCAUGACCCUGUGCAAGGAUGACACACAAAUUCAUGAAGCAUCUCAUGUUUUU
Molossus molossus (Pallas's mastiff bat) is the source of this 102-nucleotide small nuclear RNA. Lineage: Eukaryota; Metazoa; Chordata; Mammalia; Chiroptera; Molossidae. The record is from RefSeq and is a predicted model, not a curated record.